This 497-nucleotide ribosomal RNA is filed under the name uncultured bacterium. RNAcentral describes it as "partial 16S ribosomal RNA". It matches the Rfam family "Bacterial small subunit ribosomal RNA", at positions 28 to 507 of the family's 1533-position model. The record is from RNAcentral.
GAUGAACGCUGGCGGCGUGCCUAGUACAUGCAAGUCGAGCAAACGGACGAGAAGCUUGCUUCUCUGAUGUUAGCGGCGGACGGGUGAGUAACACGUGGAUAACCUACCUAUAAGACUGGGAUAACUUCGGGAAACCGGAGCUAAUACCGGAUAAUAUUUUGAACCGCAUGGUUCAAAAGUGAAAGACGGUCUUGCUGUCACUUAUAGAUGGAUCCGCGCUGCAUUAGCUAGUUGGUAAGGUAACGGCUUACCAAGGCAACGAUUCAUAGCCGAUCUGAGAGGGUGAUCGACGACACUGGAACUGAGACACGGUCCAGACUCCUACGGGAGGCAGCAGUAGGGAAUCUUCCGCAAUGGGCUAAAGCCUGACGGAGCAACGCCGCGUGAGUGAUGAAGGUCUUCGGAUCGUAAAACUCUGUUAUUAGGGAAGAACAUAUGUGUAAGUACCUGUGCAAAUCUUGACGGUACCUAAUCAGAAAGCCACGGCUAACUACGUG